UUUUCUCGUGCAUCAUUACUAUAUUACUAUAUUCUUAUUGCAGAGUCAUUCGUGCAAGGUGCAACCUGCAAUGCUAUUGUUUUAAUAUUUCCAUCUUCGAUUUUGAGGCCUUCGCUGUGGACAUAAUUCCAGGAUAACAUCAGAGUCGAUUUAGACAUUUUGUGGAAUCAUAAUUUUGGGUGUUAUUUUUUAUAGCAGUG
This 200-nucleotide long non-coding RNA is filed under the name Panax ginseng (ginseng). RNAcentral's name for it is "long non-coding RNA (PGIN_LNC002416)". The record is from RNAcentral. Lineage: Eukaryota; Viridiplantae; Streptophyta; Magnoliopsida; Apiales; Araliaceae.